This 103-nucleotide ribosomal RNA is filed under the name uncultured bacterium. Its description in RNAcentral is "partial 16S ribosomal RNA". It matches the Rfam family "Bacterial small subunit ribosomal RNA", at positions 408 to 508 of the family's 1533-position model. The record is from RNAcentral.
AUGACGGCCCUAUGGGUUGUAAACUGCUUUUGUACGGGAAGAAACCCCACUACGUGUAGUGGGUUGACGGUACCGUGAGAAUAAGGAUCGGCUAACUUCGUGC